GGCUUCAACCAGUCACCAGACCAUUGCUUAAAUGAAGCCAAGAAGAAGAAGCGGUAGAAGGAAGGGAAGAAGAGGGCCCUAGCCACACCGACUGGCGGAAUGGUGACGCCGCCGAAGCCCUAGAAGGCGGAGUACGCCAAGUCUGGGCGCUCCUCGUGCAAAUCGUGCAGGUCCCCCAUCGGCAAGGACCAGCUCUGGCUCAGCGAGAUGGUCCGGGCGGAGUCACCAGACCGUUGCCUGAAAGAAGCCAAGAAGAAGAAGCGGCAGAAGGAAGGGAAGAAGAGGGCACUAGCCACACCGGCCAGCAGAAUGGCGGCGGCACCGAAGCCCCGGAAGGGGGAGUACUCCAAGUUCGGGCGCUCCUCGUGCAAGUCGUGCAGGUCCCCCGUCGGCAAGGACCAGCUCUGACUCGGCAAGAUGGUCCAGGCCACCCAGUUUGACGGAUUCAUGCCCAUCCAUAACCGUAUCCCAUCCCCUCCACCGCACUCUUCGCCGGCAGUCUUUCUUCAUUUCCAUUGAUGAAUAUUUCUUUGAUCUUUAUUUAGGGUUUAGGAAGGUAGGGUUUUGGUGUGGCUUAUUGCUCUUGGAGUUUAUGAACUUGUUGUAUCGCGCAGGUCAGUUUUUUAGGGAUUUACCAUGAGAAUCUUCUGGUUUGAUUUGAUGUGGGAUCGGUUUUCAUCUUGAUGUGCAUUGCGGAUGUGGGUUUUGUGGGCAUUUACCAUAAUAAUCUCCUGCUUUGAUGGGUGAUUGGUUUUCAUCUCGAUGUGAAAAAAAUCUGUUUCUUUGGGCAAUUUCUCAUGAUUUCGGGCUUGAUCGAAUCGAUCUUGUAGUGUAGAAUUCUUGAUGCAUUUGGUUUGGUGCUAUGCAGAUUUGUUGCAUAAUCUGUCAAUCCCAACAUUGGAUUUAUUGCUGUUUCUGAUCCUAUCACACAUUCUAUACACAAGAAUAGAGAGAGUGCUCUUGUGGCUGAAACUUUGAUAUACGCAAUUUAACUGGUGUUUGAUAUACCAACCAUUUUCUCCUUAGUUUGUUCGUUAAUCUGUUCUUGUUCCUAUGAGUUAUGUGUGGUUUACAAAUUAUAAUCUACAUAUUGUUUUGGCAGCUUUGUUUUUUUUGUCUGCUCUUGUAAUUGUUUUGUGGGUGCAUGCGUGAUCUAGGUGCUUAAGUGUAUUACGAAAGCUAAAACUUGGAGGAGAAUCCUUAUUUGUAUUAUUUAUUUCUUAUCUUGCACAUUUGGAUGCUGAAGCUUAAUUGCUUUUUGGUUAGAUCACGUGCUCAUGUAGUGACGUGGGCACUCUAAUUAUUUCGUUGGCUCACUGGGAAAUGUACGAUCGUUUAGGGAAAACUGAUGUGAUCUUUCUGGAUCUGCAUGCCAAUUUUCACUUGAUCAUAUUCUUUUUAUUUUUGCAAUGGCCUUUAUAUAUAGGGAGGACUAACUUGACAUCUAAAGAACUAAUCUUUAACAUUGUAGGAAGUAGGAACCAAUCCAAGCUCUAUCUCUAACUACUUUCCUAAGUAGAUAAUCAUCUCCUAUGUUUGUUUACUUAUUCCUACUUUUGGAUGAGCCUGGCCCAUGCCCAUAACACGAGAACCAAGGACCACACUUGCCAGGCAAAGACAAUAAACCAAAAUAUGCUGAUAUUUGCUAUAUUGAUUUUUUUUCUUAUUUACUGACUCCUAUUUGAGUACUCCUAAGGAAUUACUCCCUCCGUCCUAAAAUGUAACUAUUUCUAGAGUUGGACAUGAGCUUUAAGAAAGCAUGUAAGGAAUGAUUGUGAUUGGUUGAGAAAAGAAUAUAGGUGAAAAAAAUGAAGAAUGGUUGUGAUUGGUUAAGGUGAGGAGGUAGGUGGAGGAAAUAACUUCAUUUUGAGACCAAUGGUGGAUGGUAGAAAUAGGUUCAUUUUGGGAUGGAGGGAGUACAAUGAUUACUGUGGUUAAUUCUAGAUAGGAAACAUUUGAUAAUUAGAGGUACAUGUGUGAUAUUUUUUCAUGCACUUGGCUCAUAAUGUAUGUUUUGAAGAUAUAUGAAUAUUAUAUAACUGUGAUAGGGCAACUUAUAUUGUAAUAACAUGGUCCUUGUGCUGACUCUAUAAUAACAUUGUCUAGGUUCGUAUUUCGUCUACGCUUGAAGGGCAAGGUUGGUACCAUACCAGUUGUUUUCUGGAGAUGUCCCCAGCUGCAAAUUUUGAGAAAUUCUCAGGCUGGGAGGUCCUGUCACAUAAGGAUAAAGGAGUCGUUCUUGAUCUUGUCAAGAAAGAUGCUCCUAAAACAGAACAAACAACUUCUAGGGUUCCAAGUGCAAGAAUAGUGACAAUGAUAUGCAUGACUGUAAAGCUCCCAAGAUAGACAGGAGUAUAUUAGAAGGCGCACAAAAUAAAGGGAAAGCUGUUGUAUCAUGUGAGUCCAAUGCUAGUUAUACUGACCUUCAAGAAAAGCUUAAAGAGCAUAGUGACACACUUUGGAAAUUGAAGGAUGAACUUAAGAAGCAUGUGUCAACUGCUGAACUAAGGAACAUGCUCGACAUACAUCUGGGCUAGAGCGGCAUCUAUUGGAUCGUUGUGUUGAUGGGAUGCUUUUUAGAGCAUUGGGUCCUUGCCCAGUCUGUUCUAGCAUCCUCUAAUAUCACGGUGGCCAGUAUCAUUUCAGUGGUUACGUAUCAGAGUGGUCCAAGUGUACUUAUUCUACUACAGAGCCUGUUCGCAGUAAAAAGAAGUGGAGAAUUCCUGAUGAGAUGGAUAGUGAUUAUCUUACAAAGCUACUAUAUACUUCAGGUCAUUGAAGAGGAUAAUGGGUCUGAUUGUUAUGUAUUCCGGAAGUGGGGACGAGUUGGGAAUGAAAAAAUUGGAGGCACUAAUUAGGAGGAGAUGUCAAAAACUGAAGCUAUUCAUGAAUUUAUAAGAUUGUUUCUAAAGAAGACUGGAAACCCCUAGGAAGCAUGGGAACAAAAAACAAAAUUCCAAAAGCAGCCUGGGAAAUUUUAUCGACUUGACAUAGACUACGGCGUUCGGCAAGGACCAAAGCGAAAAGAUAUUAAC
Molecule: long non-coding RNA, 3035 nt
Organism: Oryza brachyantha (malo sina)
Lineage: Eukaryota; Viridiplantae; Streptophyta; Magnoliopsida; Poales; Poaceae
Exons: 5
Source: RefSeq, a predicted model, not a curated record